RNAcentral lists this ribosomal RNA (306 nucleotides) under Saprospirales bacterium. Its description in RNAcentral is "bacterial LSU rRNA". It matches the Rfam family "Bacterial large subunit ribosomal RNA", at positions 2624 to 2925 of the family's 2925-position model. Lineage: Bacteria; Pseudomonadati; Bacteroidota; Saprospiria; Saprospirales. The record is from RNAcentral.
AGACAGUUCGGUCUCUAUCUAUUGUGGGCGUUGGAAUAUUGAAGAGCUCUGACACUAGUACGAGAGGACCGUGUUGGACGAACCUCUAGUGUACCUGUUGUGACGCCAGUUGCAUCGCAGGGUAGCUAUGUUCGGAAUGGAUAAGCACUGAAAGCAUCUAAGUGCGAAGCCAUCUCUAAGAUGAGUAUUCCAUGGAAGUAAUUCCUGAAGGGUCGUAGAAGAUUACUACGUUGAUAGGCUAUAGGUGGAAGUGCAGUGAUGUAUGGAGCCAAGUAGUACUAAUUACCCGACAGCUUCCUUUUUUAU